UUCCUUUUGUANUUUGAUAAAAGGUAAGGUCNGCCCUAUGAUAGUAUUAAAUGGCCGCAGUAUAUUGACUGUGCGAAGGUAGCAUAAUCAUUUGUCUUUUAAUUGGAGUCUAGUAUGAAUGAUUUAAUGUGAGGAAGACUGUUUCUAUUAAAAUUCUGAAUUUUCAAGUUAGGUGAAGAUGCUUAAAUAUCUUUAAAAGACGAGAAGACCCCAUCAAGUUUUAUAAUAUAUUUUAUUAUUAGGUAAAAUUUGUUACAUUUAUUAUUUUAUUGGGGCAAUAGUUAAAUAUAAAAAACUUUAAUUUAUUAAUAAUGUCAGUGUAUAAAUAUUUUUAUGAUCCAUAUAUUUGAUUAUAAGAUUAAAUUACUGUGGGGAUAACAGCGUUAUUUCUUUUAAGAGUUCUUAUCUAUGAAGAAGAUUGCGACCUCGAUGUUGNAUUAAGAUNNCUUAUNNNNCGCAGGGGUUAAAUAAAGUAGUCUG
This 480-nucleotide ribosomal RNA is filed under the name Lithobius tricuspis. Its description in RNAcentral is "partial large subunit ribosomal RNA". It matches the Rfam family "Bacterial large subunit ribosomal RNA", at positions 1829 to 2575 of the family's 2925-position model. The record is from RNAcentral. Lineage: Eukaryota; Metazoa; Arthropoda; Chilopoda; Lithobiomorpha; Lithobiidae.